This 254-nucleotide ribosomal RNA is filed under the name uncultured bacterium. RNAcentral's name for it is "partial 16S ribosomal RNA". It matches the Rfam family "Bacterial small subunit ribosomal RNA", at positions 524 to 776 of the family's 1533-position model. The record is from RNAcentral.
GACGAACCGUGCGAACGUUAUUCGGAAUCAUUGGGCUUAAAGGGCGCGUAGGCGGGCGACCGCGUCGAUGGCUGAAAGCCCCCGGCUUAACCGGGGAGGGUCGUUGGGGACGGCGGGGCUUGAGGGCGGGAGAGGUCGGUGGAAUUCCCGGUGUAGUGGUGAAAUGCGUAGAGAUCGGGAGGAACACCUGUGGCGAAGGCGGCCGACUGGGCCGACCCUGACGCUGAGGCGCGAAGGCGUGGGGAGCGAACGGG